This 460-nucleotide ribosomal RNA is filed under the name uncultured bacterium. RNAcentral describes it as "partial 16S ribosomal RNA". It matches the Rfam family "Bacterial small subunit ribosomal RNA", at positions 338 to 795 of the family's 1533-position model. The record is from RNAcentral.
CCUACGGGAGGCAGCAGUGAGGAAUAUUGGUCAAUGGACGAGAGUCUGAACCAGCCAAGUAGCGUGAAGGAUGACUGCCCUAUGGGUUGUAAACUUCUUUUAUAAAGGACUAAAACGAGGCACGUGUGCCUUUUUGCAUGUACUUUAUGAAUAAGGAUCGGCUACCUCCGUGCCAGCGGCACCGGUAAUACGGAGGAUCCACGCGUUAUCCGGUUUUAUUUGGUUUAAAGGGAGCGUAGAUGGUUUGUUAAGUCAGUUGUGAAAGUUUGCGGCGCAACCGUAAAAUUGCAAUUGAUACUGGCAGUCUGGAGUACAGUUGAGGUAGGCGGAAUUCGUGGUGUAGCGGUGAAAUGCUUAGAUAUCACGAAGAACCCCGAUUGCGAAGGCAGCUUACUAAACUGUGACUGACAUUGAUGCUCGAAAGUGUGGGUAUCAAACAGGAUUAGAUACCCGAGUAGUC